GUUACCAACCACCAUCAUUUUUCAUAGCUGGUUCAAGUCAAAGUCAACAAGGAAGUCCUGCCGGCGGAAGAAGAAAGGCUGACAGCACUAGAAGAUUGAAAACACAGACUCGUCUGCGGCAGCCAAUCAGAUGACUCUGCGGAGAGAGAGUCACGUGAUGAGCACCGCUACCCUAUGCUUAUUCAGCACGGCUGAACAAGCCGACAUGGACCUAUAUAAAUCCAGAGGAGGCAACACACUGAACACCAGCGCCAGCCAGAAUCUAUUUUGUUUUUGCUCACUUUCAUUAUCCAUUAAUUAUUUGUAGGGUUGGCAUUACCAACAGCCCCAUUUUUUUUACAUUUUAUUUCCAUUAGUUCAGUGGGUUUUGGGUUUAGAGGAGAGGU
This is a long non-coding RNA of Melanotaenia boesemani (Boeseman's rainbowfish), 386 nucleotides long. RefSeq lists it as uncharacterized. NCBI's taxonomy places the organism in Eukaryota, Metazoa, Chordata, Actinopteri, Atheriniformes, Melanotaeniidae. The record is from RefSeq and is a predicted model, not a curated record. The transcript is spliced from 3 exons.